GAUGAACGCUGGCGGCGUGCCUAAUACAUGCAAGUCGAGCGAACGGACGAGAAGCUUGCUUCUCUGAUGUUAGCGGCGGACGGGUGAGUAACACGUGGAUAACCUACCUAUAAGACUGGGAUAACUUCGGGAAACCGGAGCUAAUACCGGAUAAUAUUUUGAACCGCAUGGUUCAAAAGUGAAAGACGGUCUUGCUGUCACUUAUAGAUGGAUCCGCGCUGCAUUAGCUAGUUGGUAGGGUACGGCUUACCAAGGCAACGAUGCAUAGCCGACCUGAGAGGGUGAUCGGCCACACUGGAACUGAGACACGGUCCAGACUCCUACGGGAGGCAGCAGUAGGGAAUCUUCCGCAAUGGGCGAAAGCCUGACGGAGCAACGCCGCGUGAGUGAUGAAGGUCUUCGGAUCGUAAAACUCUGUUAUUAGGGAAGAACAUAUGUGUAAGUAACUGUGCACAUCUUGACGGUACCUAAUCAGAAAGCCACGGCUAACUACGUG
RNAcentral lists this ribosomal RNA (496 nucleotides) under uncultured bacterium. Its description in RNAcentral is "partial 16S ribosomal RNA". It matches the Rfam family "Bacterial small subunit ribosomal RNA", at positions 28 to 507 of the family's 1533-position model. The record is from RNAcentral.